AACAGAGUGAAAAAUAAAAUUCCUCUUAUAAAAAAAUCCAGAAUUAUUUUUUACAAGACUAAGAUAAAUAAAUACAAAAUUUUAUCCUCACACUUAAUCCGAUCUCAUCCUGUCUACCAUUUUUUACUGUUUAGUUCUUAACCUGCAUAACAAUAAAGGGGUGAGCUUUAACAGCUCUGUAGGGACAUAAUCUCUUAUCACAAUAAAUUGACAAUAUUAAAUUAAGUGUCAUGAAAUCAUAUAACCAAAUAUCAAAUCAUUAUUGAUAAUAAUGCAUGAAUGCAAUUGAACCUCUUCGGCUACCCCCGUUAAUUUAUAUAAUAAAACAUGCGGACCUGCACGUCCCAUACCAUGCAUUUUACCCCUGCAGAGGUGGUUCGAAUGUUAUAAUAUACAAAUUAACCCCCUGUAACUCAAUCAUCCCGAUUUCCCCUUUUGUUAGUCAUCUUGCCUAAACUCUUCAUCGCCAGUCCCGAAUUACCCUUAAAGAAUCUGUGCACUGUGGGCUCACCUAAGAUUUGGUACCUGCUAAGAGUUUGGCUCAACUACACAAAAGAUAUUUCCAUCUACCCUCAUUUCCAGAAUUCCUUCCUCAACACCGAACUUCCAACUAUUCUCACACAUGAGUGAUGCACAAAUAAUCUCAUUUCAUCAUUCACAUGUACCACAACAUAUUCUCAGCGAAUAGCAUUUCACCAAUAAUUCUGUAACAAUAACAAGUAAACACCCAAGAGUAGUAAUUAUCCAAUUAGCAAACCAUAUCCCAUUAAUCAACAACAAGAUCAAUAAGAAGAAUAUAAUAUUUCACAAAAUUUAAUAAAAUCAAUCUCUGUAAAGGUCUGUCGUAUUUCCCCUACCUGGAUUCCAAAGCAUUGCUCCAUAUUAUUAACACAAGAAUCCACCACCUUGAUAAAGUCCUAUUCACAUGUAUAAGCAAAUCACUAAAUGCACAACUACAACUCUAAUCCUAUUUGAGUAAUUACUUGUGACUACUAAUUCAACACAAAUAGAUUCAAAUACUUUUAAGAAAUAAAUAAGAUGUGUUUGUAUAGUUGAUAAAGGAUCAGUACAAAUACUGCUUUAUCCGAAUUAGAUAUAUGUAGCUAAUAUAAUCAUUCCAACUCUAAACAUAAGGUGGUUUAUUAAUAUAGUAGACAUAUAGCUUGAAAACGUGAACCAUAAGUUUGGUUCUAACUCCAAUACAUACAUGCAUAUAUAGUCUUUGUGAUGAAAACAUGGAGAGUGGAAUGUAUAUAUUACCAUUUGCAACUUCAACCAGAUGCUUUACUUGAAAGAUGCAUAGAUAGUGUAGAUAUAAAACCAGUUGCAUAUAUAUUAUCCUUUAAAAUCAAAACAUGCUUUCUUUUGAAAUUAAUCAAUUCAUAAACUGAUGAGCUGAUGCCAUAUUUAUACAACUGUUUGCACAACAGCUCCUCUAAUCAAAUAUGCAGUAGAAAUGGUAUCCAUAUAAGCAUAACAGUCUUUUGCAUUCAACCAACAACUUUUAUAUAUAGUAGAUUAAAGAAAGCAUAUGCAUAAAACUAGCCCUAAAUAUUAGUGGCUAUAUAUAAGGGAUAAAUUUACUCCACUGCAACAAUCCAUCAUAUCAUACAAAAUCCAUGUUAUGAUCAGGACUAGUGGACAAAACACACAAUGAAUCACAACAUAAGAAGAGACCAACUACGACUUUGGUAAAUUGGUAGUUAAUCGAAUUCGAAUUGAACAUCAUACCUAUUUCAGACACUGAAUACUCCUUCGGUAAAGUAGCAUACGAGAACAAGCAGUGGCUUACUGAUUAUACAACACCUCCCUCUCUUGCAUUUUCAUUUAUUUCCCUAAGAGUUGCCUUCUCAAUACUACAGCCUCAUAAA
This 1871-nucleotide long non-coding RNA is filed under the name Malus domestica (apple). RNAcentral describes it as "long non-coding RNA (MDOM_LNC004240)". Lineage: Eukaryota; Viridiplantae; Streptophyta; Magnoliopsida; Rosales; Rosaceae. The record is from RNAcentral.